This 292-nucleotide ribosomal RNA is filed under the name uncultured bacterium. RNAcentral describes it as "partial 16S ribosomal RNA". It matches the Rfam family "Bacterial small subunit ribosomal RNA", at positions 505 to 796 of the family's 1533-position model. The record is from RNAcentral.
GUGUCAGCAGCCGCGGUAACACGGGGGGAGCAAGCGUUGUUCGGAUUCAUUGGGCGUAAAGAGCUCGUAGGCGGCUCUGUAAGUCGGAAGUUAAAUCCCAUGGCUCAACCAUGGACAAGCUUUCGAAACUGCGGAGCUUGAGGCUGGGAGAGGAGAUCGGAAUUCCUGGUGUAGCGGUGAAAUGCGUAGAUAUCAGGAGGAACACCGGUGGCGAAGGCGGAUCUCUGGACCAGUUCUGACGCUCAGGAGCGAAAGCUAGGGGAGCAAACAGGAUUAGAUACCCGCGUAGUCC